ACAGCCUCAACCAGAACCCACACCACGGCCGGACCCAGAGCCAAAACCCAAACCAAUACCACAACCUGAACCCAUACCUACACCACAACCAGAUCCAACUCCAGAACCAGAGCCAAAGCCAACACCACAGCCAGACCCAGAGCCAGGACCUAAGCCAUUACCACACCCGGAACCCUUACCCACACCAGAACCACUUCCAAAUCCACAACUAGAGCCAGAACCCAACCCAUUGCCACAGCCUAAACCCUUACCCACACCAGAACCACUUCCAAAUCCACAACCAGACCCAGAGCCAGAACCCAAGCCAUUGCCACAACCUGAACCCUUACCCACACCAGAACCACUUCCAAAUCCACAACCAGACCCAGAGCCAGAACCCAAGCCAUGGCCACAGCCUGAACCCUUACCCACACCAGAACCACUUCCAAAUCCACAACCAGACCCAGAGCCAAAACCUAAGCCAUGGCCACAGCCUGAACCCUUACCCACACCACAACCACUUCCAAAUCCUGAACCUGAACCAACACCAUAGCCUGAUCCGAACCCUACAUCACAACCUCAACCAAAACCAGAGUCUGGUCUUGAGGCAAGACUUAAGCCUACACUAGGACCUAAACCUCAGCCAUAACCUAAACAAAACCCCAAACCUUCACUUGGCCUAAAAAUAAUACUAGGACCAUCAAGGCCGGCACCCCAUCCGAUCCCUGAACCCCCACCAGAGUCUGAGCCAAAAACCAUAGCCUAAGCUUGAUCCAAACCUGAAGCCUUUGCCGAAGCCAAAACCCCAAC
This 789-nucleotide long non-coding RNA is filed under the name Sorghum bicolor (sorghum). Its description in RNAcentral is "long non-coding RNA (SBIC_LNC001864)". The record is from RNAcentral. Lineage: Eukaryota; Viridiplantae; Streptophyta; Magnoliopsida; Poales; Poaceae.